UAUCUGAAUCUUAACCUGAUGCCCAUUUGGGGCGGCAGUAUACUGUUAGAGAAAUAAAGCCUUCUUCCGAGAAGGUUUUAUUUUCGACAGUAAUGUCGGAAGAUCCUGAUAUUUGACAACUGAAUACAUGUAGAAAAUCUACAAGUUGCAAAAAAUCAAUAGUAAGCAAGUAUCAAACCAUGCUUGUAAGCGAGCGAAUUUUGCUUGUGAACAAGUUUUAUGGUCAAGCUACUAAGGGCAUGCGGUGAAUGCCUUGGCACUUGAAGGCGAUGAAGGACGUGAAAAGCUGCGAAAAGCGACGGUGAGGAGCACUUAUCCAUUGACCCGUCGAUGUCCGAAUGGGGAAACCCGG
This 352-nucleotide ribosomal RNA is filed under the name uncultured bacterium. RNAcentral describes it as "partial 23S ribosomal RNA". The stretch from base 222 to 352 matches the Rfam family "Bacterial large subunit ribosomal RNA", at positions 1 to 131 of the family's 2925-position model. The record is from RNAcentral.